CGAGACUGCCUGGCAAACUCUUAGUCUUGCACAUCCUUCUCCUGCCGCCUCCUCUAGGAAGGCUUCCCUGACCUCCUCACUCCACCGCCCCCCACACCCAUUAAUUGCCUCCUCCUCUUCUUCCUGAACCUUACAUACCUACCUACCCGUUAUAAAUAAUUCUCUGUUCACAUGUCAGCCUCCCCCCGACCAGACAAGGGGGAUUCCCCAAGGGCAAGGACCAGGGGCCUGGGGUCAAUAAAGUGUUGUAGUACAAUGAAUGAAGGCUUCUCCAAGCCGCCUGGUCCACGGUGCACGUUCCCGGCUCUGGUUCCACCAUGCUGAGGGGCAGAGCCCUCUCUUCAGAGGAGCAAGGUCUAGGACAAGGAAGAUAACGACAACAGCACUAACGCUAACGAAACACUUACUCACCAAGUGCCAGGUGCAUAUUCUGCCCCCAGUGCUUUACAUACGUCAAUUCGUUUAACCGCCACAACGCUAUUAUCCCCAUCUCAUAGAUGGGAAGACUGAGGCACAGAGAGGCCUAAGCAACUUUGCCCAAACACACAGCGGGGCAGCCCAGGAGGCGGCUCCAGAGGCCACGCUGUUCACACUUCUCGCUUAAGGGAAGAGAAAGCCGGGAGAAGACCCAAGAGAAGUCAUGCCCACAUCCUCCCUCCAGCCGGCAGUUCUAGGGCUGCGGCUGCUUUCGCUUCCUUCUUAAUUUUUCUGACAAGAACAGAUGCCACCGCAGCUGACAACCAGCCUGUCGGUGUGAACGGGAAGGCAGGUCCGGCCGCUCGUUUGUCUGGCCUAGUGCACAGACUUGCCAGAGCUGUGCCGGCUACAGGAGCACAAGGAGGGAGCAGUCACUCUCACUGUCCUCAAGGCUGACGGCCCCUCAGAGCCUGGCAUGAAGAGGGCUUUGACUUUGACAGAGCAGGACUCCGAAGCCCUGGCUGCCUGGGUGCUUUCGACCAAGUAAACUGCACAAGGUCCUAAGCUCCACAUCUGUAAACUGGGGCGCGGACAGCACCUGCUCUGUUGGGGGCUGGGAGGACUGAGCUCACACGGGGCUCUUGUCAUCCACGGCAGCUCUUUGCACGCAUGUGCGGAUCCGUUCCAUGCUGCGCUCACGCCCCUUCUGCCUCAACCCCCGCAGGAGGGGUGUGGACACUCUGAGACCCUGGUCUCAGAGGAGGGAAGAGCUCGGCUUGGGUGAAACGGCUCCCAGCCCCAAACCAGGCUGAUGCUUCCCCCUGGUUAACAACUGCGGUCCAGGCAGCGGCCCCAGCCCCUGCUAAUUACCAUGAUUAGCACUGAGCAAGCUGCUGCAUUUUAUGACUCUCCAAACCAAAAAAAAUAAUUAAAGCAAUUACUGUCAUUAA
Neofelis nebulosa (Clouded leopard) is the source of this 1367-nucleotide long non-coding RNA. RefSeq lists it as uncharacterized. The transcript is spliced from 4 exons. NCBI's taxonomy places the organism in Eukaryota, Metazoa, Chordata, Mammalia, Carnivora, Felidae. The record is from RefSeq and is a predicted model, not a curated record.